GUGCCAGCCGCCGCGGUAAUAUGUAGGUGGCAAGCGUUGUCCGGAUUUAUUGGGCGUAAAGCGAGCGCAGGCGGUUUCUUAAGUCUGAUGCGAAAGCCUUCGGCUCAACCGAAGAAGUGCAUCGGAAACUGGGAAACCUGAGUGCAGAAGAGGACAGUGGAACUCCAUGUGUAGCGGUGAAAUGCGUAGAUAUAUGGAAGAACACCAGUGGCGAAGGCGGCUGUCUGGUCUGUAACUGACGCUGAGGCUCGAAAGCAUGGGUAGCAAACAGGAUUAGAUACCCUGGUAGUCCAUGCCGUAAACGAUGAGUGCUAGGUGUUGGAGGGUUUCCGCCCUUCAGUGCCGCAGCUAACGCAUUAAGCACUCCGCCUGGGGAGUACGACCGCAAGGUUGAAACUCAAAGGAAUUGACGGGGGCCCGCACAAGCGGUGGAGCAUGUGGUUUAAUUCGAAGCAACGCGAAGAACCUUACCAGGUCUUGACAUCCUUUGACCACUCUAGAGAUAGAGCUUUCCCUUCGGGGACAAAGUGACAGGUGGUGCAUGGUUGUCGUCAGCUCGUGUCGUGAGAUGUUGGGUUAAGUCCCGCAACGAGCGCAACCCUUAUUACUAGUUGCCAGCAUUAAGUUGGGCACUCUAGUGAGACUGCCGGUGACAAACCGGAGGAAGGUGGGGACGACGUCAAAUCAUCAUGCCCCUUAUGACCUGGGCUACACACGUGCUACAAUGGAUGGUACAACGAGUUGCGAGACCGCGAGGUUUAGCUAAUCUCUUAAAACCAUUCUCAGUUCGGAUUGUAGGCUGCAACUCGCCUACAUGAAGCCGGAAUCGCUAGUAACCGCGGAUCAGCAUGCCGCGGUGAAUACGUUCCCGGGCCUUGUACACACCGCCCGU
This 892-nucleotide ribosomal RNA is filed under the name uncultured bacterium. RNAcentral describes it as "bacterial SSU rRNA". It matches the Rfam family "Bacterial small subunit ribosomal RNA", at positions 505 to 1397 of the family's 1533-position model. The record is from RNAcentral.